This 74-nucleotide transfer RNA is filed under the name Tetraselmis virus 1. RNAcentral's name for it is "tRNA-Lys". It matches the Rfam family "tRNA". From Rfam's summary of the family: Transfer RNA (tRNA) molecules are approximately 80 nucleotides in length. Their secondary structure includes four short double-helical elements and three loops (D, anti-codon, and T loops). Further hydrogen bonds mediate the characteristic L-shaped molecular structure. tRNAs have two regions of fundamental functional importance: the anti-codon, which is responsible for specific mRNA codon recognition, and the 3' end, to which the tRNAs corresponding amino acid is attached (by aminoacyl-tRNA synthetases). tRNAs cope with the degeneracy of the genetic code in two manners: having more than one tRNA (with a specific anti-codon) for a particular amino acid; and 'wobble' base-pairing, i.e. permitting non-standard base-pairing at the 3rd anti-codon position. The record is from RNAcentral. Lineage: Varidnaviria; Bamfordvirae; Nucleocytoviricota; Megaviricetes; Imitervirales; Allomimiviridae.
UGCCUCAGUAGCUCAGUCGGAAGAGCGCCAGACUUUUAAUCUGGUGGCCGCGGGUUCGAGCCCCGCCUGAGGUG